RNAcentral lists this ribosomal RNA (253 nucleotides) under uncultured bacterium. RNAcentral's name for it is "partial 16S ribosomal RNA". It matches the Rfam family "Bacterial small subunit ribosomal RNA", at positions 524 to 776 of the family's 1533-position model. The record is from RNAcentral.
GUCGAACCGUGCGAACGUUGUUCGGAAUCACUGGGCUUAAAGGGCGCGUAGGCGGCAGAUCAAGUCCGGGGUGAAAGCCCCCAGCUUAACUGGGGAAGUGCCUUGGAAACUGAUGUGCUUGAGGGAGGUAGGGGUCGAGGGAACUUCUGGUGGAGCGGUGAAAUGCGUUGAUAUCAGAAGGAACGCCGGUGGCGAAAGCGAUCGACUGGACCUUUUCUGACGCUGAGGCGCGAAAGCUAGGGGAGCAAACGGG